UUGUAGCCCCGGUCCCCUCGGUGAUGAGGUGGAGCCUAAUUGAUUUGUCAAUGUGGAGCCAUCUGGCACAGAAAGAUGGAGCUCCAACCUGUUCUCCUUCCUGAGAGGGUGUUGGGGGGCAUCAGGAGAGCCGGGUUGGAUUACACACACACACACACACACACACACACACACACACACACACACACACUCACACACUCCUUGGGAUUUUAUGAUAUCUCGUAUUUUUUCUCUCUCAUACAGUACUCACCUUCAUUGAGGACAAAGUGUGUCUUCCUCUGCUUCUUAUUUGAAAUCAUUUGCACUAAUCCAGUGUACUGGUCCCCACAGUGCCCCACAGUACACACCCAGUGAGGGAUGACAGGGACAGAAGGCACGACAGAGCCUGGAGGCAUGGGCCCCCCAACCAAAAAGGAAACACACACAUCUCUUAAACCUCAUGGGUGGGGGACGAGGAUCAAAAGGUCAACGGUGCUGAUGGACGCCAGCGCAGAAACGAAGCCUCCGGUGUCUUAAUGAAACGAGCUUGAGGAAAUGGGGACAGACAGAGACAGAAGGAGAGAAUGGAUGCUGCCUGCACUGAUUAGGAUCCCCCCUCAUCACCGCGCCCCCCAUUUUUCCCUUCAUUUCCCUCCGUUGUCCUUCCUCUGACUGGAACAGGGGCUGAGAUGAGCCACUUUGGCAACCCUGGGGCAAGAAGGUGAUGUCUCCAAGUUGCCCAAGAUGUGGGGGAAGUGUAGCCGAAGCAGAAAUCGCUUUGAAAACACUGACUGACGUGCAACUUCAAACCAGGCACUGAAAUGAGGAGGAGGAGGAGGAGAUGGCACGUCGACGAGAGACCACUGUUCGAGAAACCCUCAGCGACGUCGGGUCAGUUUCCACCUGUGUGGCAACAAACCAGGUAAACCAAAGCUUGUUCUUUUCUGAACCAAACCUAACCAGACCAUAAGCAAUGCCACAGCAUAAAAGCCAGAACUGAAAAAUUGCUGUAGCACAAUUUCA
Molecule: long non-coding RNA, 1002 nt
Organism: Scatophagus argus
Lineage: Eukaryota; Metazoa; Chordata; Actinopteri; Scatophagidae
Exons: 4
Source: RefSeq, a predicted model, not a curated record